GCACCUGUAGCUCAACGGGAUAGAGCACCAGCCUCCUAAGCUGAAGAUGAAGGUUCGAGUCCUUCCUGGUGUA
RNAcentral lists this transfer RNA (73 nucleotides) under unidentified. Its description in RNAcentral is "Aerococcaceae bacterium No. 9 tRNA-Arg". It matches the Rfam family "tRNA". From Rfam's summary of the family: Transfer RNA (tRNA) molecules are approximately 80 nucleotides in length. Their secondary structure includes four short double-helical elements and three loops (D, anti-codon, and T loops). Further hydrogen bonds mediate the characteristic L-shaped molecular structure. tRNAs have two regions of fundamental functional importance: the anti-codon, which is responsible for specific mRNA codon recognition, and the 3' end, to which the tRNAs corresponding amino acid is attached (by aminoacyl-tRNA synthetases). tRNAs cope with the degeneracy of the genetic code in two manners: having more than one tRNA (with a specific anti-codon) for a particular amino acid; and 'wobble' base-pairing, i.e. permitting non-standard base-pairing at the 3rd anti-codon position. The record is from RNAcentral.